GAUGAAGAACGUAGCGAAAUGCGAUAAGUAAUGUGAAUUGCAGAAUUCAGUGAAUCAUCGAAUCUUUGAACGCACAUUGCGCCCGCCAGUAUUCUGGCGGGCAUGCCUGUUCGAGCGUCAUUUCAACCCUCAAGCUCAGCUUGGUGUUGGGACUCGCGGUAACCCGCGUUCCCCAAAUCGAUUGGCGGUCACGUCGAGCUUCCAUAGCGUAGUAAUCAUACACCUCGUUACUGGUAAUCGUCGCGGCCACGCCGUAAAACCCCCACUUCUGAAUGUUGACCUCGGAUCAGGUAGGAAUACCCGCUGAACUUAAGCAUAUCAAUAAGCGGAGGA
RNAcentral lists this unclassified non-coding RNA (333 nucleotides) under soil metagenome. RNAcentral describes it as "partial contains 5.8S ribosomal RNA, internal transcribed spacer 2, and large subunit ribosomal RNA". The stretch from base 1 to 120 matches the Rfam family "5.8S ribosomal RNA", at positions 35 to 154 of the family's 154-position model. The record is from RNAcentral.